UAGGGAAUCUUCGGCAAUGGACGAAAGUCUGACCGAGCAACGCCGCGUGAGUGAAGAAGGUUUUCGGAUCGUAAAACUCUGUUGUUAGAGAAGAACAAGGACGUUAGUAACUGAACGUCCCCUGACGGUAUCUAACCAGAAAGCCACGGCUAACUACGUGCCAGCAGCCGCGGUAAUACGUAGGUGGCAAGCGUUGUCCGGAGUUAUUGGGCGUAAAGCGAGCGCAGGCGGUUUCUUAAGUCUGAUGUGAAAGCCCCCUGCUCAACCGGGGAGGGUCAUUGGAAACUGGGAGACUUGAGUGCAGAAGAGGAGAGUGGAAUUCCAUGUGUAGCGGUGAAAUGCGUAGAUAUAUGGAAGAACACCAGUGGCGAAGGCGGCUCUCUGGUCUGUAACUGACGCUGAGGCUCGAAAGCGUGGGGAGCAAACAGG
Molecule: ribosomal RNA, 429 nt
Filed under: Gemmatimonadota bacterium
Lineage: Bacteria; Pseudomonadati; Gemmatimonadota
Description: Gemmatimonadetes bacterium partial 16S ribosomal RNA
Rfam family: Bacterial small subunit ribosomal RNA
Source: RNAcentral